GGGGUAGUAAAGGUUUCGACAGGGGUCUUGCAGCUGGAGAAGCUAUCCGUUGCGACACGUUAAUCGCGAUGCGGGCUGUGCCCGCGACUUAAACUAAACGCUGAAGAUAAUAAUCAGUUAGCAUUCGCAGCUUAAUCUGAUUCGUCAGAUUAACUGUGGGUGACGCUGCCUCAGGCAGCUUGUCCGCUCCGGGGCACUCACACUCCGGAAUCCGGGCAUCGACUCUGUGAGAAACGACGCAUGUUAAGCUUUGCGCAUGCGGGCGUAUCAUGAAGCUACCGGGCAGUCUGGAGAGUCUGUUCUCCCGGCUGUGAGGGAAGAGGGCGGAGCGAAUCCGCCCAAAACAACAGACUAUGAUAGUAGAAGGACAGGGAAUGGGCUUUUGGACAUGGGUUCGACUCCCAUCUACUCCACUG
RNAcentral lists this transfer-messenger RNA (416 nucleotides) under Acetatifactor sp. It matches the Rfam family "transfer-messenger RNA". From Rfam's summary of the family: Bacterial tmRNA, also known as 10Sa RNA or SsrA, is named for its dual tRNA and mRNA-like properties. Its role is to liberate the mRNA from a stalled ribosome. The record is from RNAcentral. Lineage: Bacteria; Bacillati; Bacillota; Clostridia; Lachnospirales; Lachnospiraceae.